AUUCUGAUUUGAGAGAGGGGCUGAAGGGAAGAGAAAAGAAGACUGCCACAUCCAUCCUGGUUUGCCUGUCCAAGAGCUCUUGAGCCACCCCACCGUGACUACUGGGACCAGAACUGCCCUGCAGGGCACUCAGCAGCACUAACUGCAGGGCUUCCACUCUGCAGUUUUGGUGUCACAUACUCACAGAACCGAGGCUUCCAGCCCUGAGAAGUGGGACAACUGUCAUUGCAUCACACAGCUCUCUGAGCUUCCCAGUGGGCAUACUGCCUCAAGAGGUUUUACCCUGAAGAAAAAAUUAGAUUACUGAAGCAACAGAAGACGAGAAAAGCCAGUAAGGAGAGACCCAGCAGAGUUCCUACAAUAGCUCCAGCAAUUAUACCAGCUGUAU
Molecule: long non-coding RNA, 388 nt
Organism: Cygnus olor (mute swan)
Lineage: Eukaryota; Metazoa; Chordata; Aves; Anseriformes; Anatidae
Exons: 3
Source: RefSeq, a predicted model, not a curated record